Molecule: ribosomal RNA, 515 nt
Filed under: uncultured archaeon
Lineage: Archaea
Description: bacterial SSU rRNA
Rfam family: Archaeal small subunit ribosomal RNA
Source: RNAcentral
AACCUUUACACUGCACGACAGUGCGAUAGGGGGACUCCGAGUGCGAGGGCAUAGAGCCCUCGCUUUUGUACACCGUAAGGUGGUGUACGAAUAGGAACUGGGCAAGACCGGUGCCAGCCGCCGCGGUAAUACCGGCAGCUCGAGUGAUGGCCGAUCUUAUUGGGCCUAAAGCGUCCGUAGCUGGCCGUGCAAGUCCGUCGGGAAAUCCACCCGCUCAACGGGUGGGCGUCCGGCGGAAACUGCAGGGCUUGGGACCGGGAGGCUUGAAGGGUACGUCCGGGGUAGGAGUGAAAUCCCGUAAUCCUGGACGGACCACCGAUGGCGAAAGCACCUCGAGAGCACGGAUCCGACAGUGAGGAACGAAAGCUGGGGUCUCGAACCGGAUUAGAUACCCGGGUAGUCCCAGCUGUCAACGAUGCCCGCUAGGUAUGGCGCAGGCUACGAGCCUGUGCUAUGCCGUAGCGAAGGCGCUAAGCGGGCCGCCUGGGAAGUACGUUCGCAAGAAUGAAACUUAA